Molecule: small RNA, 81 nt
Filed under: Salmonella enterica subsp. enterica serovar Gallinarum
Lineage: Bacteria; Pseudomonadati; Pseudomonadota; Gammaproteobacteria; Enterobacterales; Enterobacteriaceae
Description: RtT RNA
Rfam family: RtT RNA
About the family: This family represents a bacterial cis-regulatory element known as RtT RNA. The exact function of RtT is unknown although it is thought that it may be involved in changing the cellular response in relation to amino acid starvation.
Source: RNAcentral
CGAUUAAGGUUCGAUUCGAGCGUCAGCGAGAAAGCGUUGCCGCAGGCAACGACCCGAAGGGCGAAGCGCGCAGCGCUGAGU